GAUGAACGCUAGCGGAAGGCUUAAUACAUGCAAGUCGAGCGGUAGGUGGCUUCGGCCAUUGAGAGCGGCGCACGGGUGAGUAACGCGUACAUGACCUGCCUGUCAGAAGGGGAUAGCCCUGGGAAACUGGGAUUAAUACCCUAUGGUAUUGAUAUUAUGAAUGAUAUCAAUUAAAGUUGAGGCGCUGACAGAUGGAUGUGCGUCUGAUUAGCUAGUUGGUAGGGUAACGGCCUACCAAGGCGACGAUCAGUAGGGGCGUGAGAGCGUGGUCCCCCACAGGGUACUGAGACACGGACCCGACUCCUACGGGAGGCAGCAGUAAGGAAUAUUGGUCAAUGCCCGCAAGGGUGAACCAGCCAUUCCGCGUGGAGGAUGAAGGCCCUAUGGGUUGUAAACUUCUUUUAGAUGGGAAGAAAAUGCUAGAUGUAUCUGGUACUGACGGUACCAAUCAGAAUAAGCACCGGCUAACUCCGUGCCAGCAGCCGC
This 486-nucleotide ribosomal RNA is filed under the name uncultured bacterium. RNAcentral describes it as "bacterial SSU rRNA". It matches the Rfam family "Bacterial small subunit ribosomal RNA", at positions 28 to 518 of the family's 1533-position model. The record is from RNAcentral.